CCUACGGGAGGCAGCAGUGGGGAAUAUUGCGCAAUGGGCGAAAGCCUGACGCAGCGACGCCGCGUGAGGGAUGAAGGUCUUCGGAUCGUAAACCUCUGUCAGCAGGGAAGAACGGUCACUGUGCUAAUCAGCAGUGAAUUGACGGUACCUGCAAAGGAAGCACCGGCUAACUCCGUGCCAGCAGCCGCGGUAAUACGGAGGGUGCGAGCGUUAAUCGGAAUUACUGGGCGUAAAGCGCUCGUAGGCGGUAUGUCAAGUCAAGGGUGAAAUCCCCGCGCUCAACGUGGGAACUGCCUUUGAAACGGGCAAACUGGAGUGUGUGAGAGGAUAGUGGAAUGCCAGGUGUAGGAGUGAAAGCCGUAGAUAUCUGGAGGAACAUCAGUGGCGAAGGCGACUAUCUGGCACAUAACUGACGCUGAGGAGCGAAAGCGUGGGUAGCAAACAGGAUUAGAUACCCUAGUAGUC
RNAcentral lists this ribosomal RNA (465 nucleotides) under uncultured bacterium. Its description in RNAcentral is "partial 16S ribosomal RNA". It matches the Rfam family "Bacterial small subunit ribosomal RNA", at positions 338 to 795 of the family's 1533-position model. The record is from RNAcentral.